This 460-nucleotide ribosomal RNA is filed under the name uncultured bacterium. RNAcentral describes it as "partial 16S ribosomal RNA". It matches the Rfam family "Bacterial small subunit ribosomal RNA", at positions 338 to 795 of the family's 1533-position model. The record is from RNAcentral.
CCUACGGGUGGCAGCAGUGAGGAAUAUUGGUCAAUGGGCGCGAGCCUGAACCAGCCAAGUAGCGUGAAGGAUGACUGCCCUACGGGUUGUAAACUUCUUUUAUAAAGGAAUAAAGUGAGGCACGAGUGCCGUGUUGUAGGUACGUGAUGAAUAAGGAUAGGCUAACUCUGGGCCAGCAGCCGCGGUAAUACGGAGGAUCCGAGCGUUAUCCGGAUUUAUUGGGUUUAAAGGGAGCGGAGAGGGGUUGUUAAGGCAGUUGUGAAAGUUUGCGGCUCCACCAUAAACUUGCAAUUGAUACUGGCAGUCUUGAGUACCGUUGAUGUAGGCGGAAUUCGUGUUGUAGCGGUGAACUGCUUCGCUCUCACGCAGAACUCCGAUUGCGAAGGCAGCUUACUAACCUGCCACUGACAUUGAUGCUCGACCGUGUGGGUAUCAACCAGGAUUAGAUACCCCUGUAGUC